AAUGUUGUAUUUUUUAAUCUUAUGGUUUGAAAUAUUCUUUUUCUUAUAAAUUACAGCUUGGAUAGAGAACCUGAAUAAUACUGACUUCUCUAAGUCUACAGUUUUACAAAGUGUUCUCUAUCAAGUUCAUAUUCCAAACAAGAGGACAAAGCCAAAGUGGUCGAAUUGCUGUGUUUACGUUGCUAGCAAGAAGUGAAGCCAUAACUGAAUUGGAGUCUUCUCUCUUCUCAUCUCCCAUGGAUGUAUCCUUACCCAGUGUUCUCCGAAGUGGACAUAACCACAUCUCACACAGUAUCUGGACUGUAUCAAGAACCAGCGUUGAGCAGGUGGGAAUGGGAUGAAGUUCUUGCUUUCUUCAGUGUAGUAAAAGAACUCACCAGGGGCGCCCAUGGGGUACUCUCAUCGAAAGUUCAAUCACUUACGCGCCGGCAAAUCUAAAUAGGACUGGUUACCUCCCGAUAUCCUGCUAUAUUCGAAGGUGUUCCUUUCCUGCACCAGCCAUCCCCGACCUGCCCCGUCACAACACUAUUAAAGGAGCUGUGAGACCCUUUUCUGAACCGUACCAUUCUUCUGCAGGUGAUGGCGUCAAAGUUGGGGAUGACCCAAGAGAUUAAAAAUCAGACUGUUUCUCCCAAAUUUUCAAACUAGGACUGUGUCGCUCUGGUGAUAUACUGUGAUAUAAAAAUCAGGACUUGCUGGAGGCCCGUACUCUCUUCUUAUUUGUGAGAAUUCCCCUCUGCAGAGAGAGAAUGGCACAGAGGAGUUUUCUGAGCUC
RNAcentral lists this long non-coding RNA (775 nucleotides) under Ursus maritimus (polar bear). Its description in RNAcentral is "lncRNA (ENSUMAG00000013415.1)". The record is from RNAcentral. Lineage: Eukaryota; Metazoa; Chordata; Mammalia; Carnivora; Ursidae.